UUGGAAGUAAAAAGUCGUAACAAGGUUUCCGUAGGUGAACCUGCGGAAGGAUCAUUACCGAGUGCGGGCCCUCGCGGCCCAACCUCCCACCCUUGUCUCUAUACACCUGUUGCUUUGGCGGGCCCACCGGGGCCACCUGGUCGCCGGGGGACGCACGUCUCCGGGCCCGCGCCCGCCGAAGCGCUCUGUGAACCCUGAUGAAGAUGGGCUGUCUGAGUACUGUGAAAAUUGUCAAAACUUUCAACAAUGGAUCUCUUGGUUCCGGCAUCGAUGAAGAACGCAGCGAAAUGCGAUAAGUAAUGUGAAUUGCAGAAUUCCGUGAAUCAUCGAAUCUUUGAACGCACAUUGCGCCCCCUGGCAUUCCGGGGGGCAUGCCUGUCCGAGCGUCAUUUCUGCCCUCAAGCACGGCUUGUGUGUUGGGUGUGGUCCCCCCGGGGACCUGCCCGAAAGGCAGCGGCGACGUCCGUCUGGUCCUCGAGCGUAUGGGGCUCUGUCACUCGCUCGGGAAGGACCUGCGGGGGUUGGUCACCACCAUGUUUUACCACGGUUGACCUCGGAUCAG
Molecule: ribosomal RNA, 562 nt
Filed under: Talaromyces pinophilus
Lineage: Eukaryota; Fungi; Ascomycota; Eurotiomycetes; Eurotiales; Trichocomaceae
Description: eukaryotic LSU rRNA
Rfam family: 5.8S ribosomal RNA (bases 236-389)
Source: RNAcentral